Molecule: ribosomal RNA, 468 nt
Filed under: uncultured bacterium
Lineage: Bacteria
Description: partial 16S ribosomal RNA
Rfam family: Bacterial small subunit ribosomal RNA
Source: RNAcentral
GACGAACGCUGGCGGCGUGCUUAACACAUGCAAGUCGAACGGAAAGGCCCUGCUUUUGUGGGGUGCUCGAUUGGCGAACGGGUGAGUAACACGUGAGUAACCUGCCCUUGACUUUGGGAUAACUUCAGGAAACUGGGGCUAAUACCGGAUAGGAGCUCCUGCUGCAUGGUGGGGGUUGGAAAGUUUCGGCGGUUGGGGAUGGACUCGCGGCUUAUCAGCUUGUUGGUGGGGUAGUGGCUUACCAAGGCUUUGACGGGUAGCCGGCCUGAGAGGGUGACCGGCCACAUUGGGACUGAGAUACGGACCAGAAUGCUACGGGAGGCAGCAGUGGGGAAUAUUGCACAAUGGGCGGACGCCUGAUGCAGCAACGCCGCGUGCGGGAUGACGGCCUUCGAGUUGUAAACAGCUUUCGCCUGUGACGAAGCGUGAGUGACGGUAAUGGGUAAAGAAGCACCGGCUAACUACGUG